GACGAACGCUGGCGGCGUGCCUAAUACAUGCAAGUCGAGCGAGUCUGCCUUGAAGAUCGGAGUGCUUGCACUCUGUGAAACAAGAUACAGGCUAGCGGCGGACGGGUGAGUAACACGUGGGUAACCUGCCCAAGAGAUCGGGAUAACACCUGGAAACAGAUGCUAAUACCGGAUAACAACAGAUGAUGCCCAUCAACUGUUUAAAAGAUGGUUCUGCUAUCACUCUUGGAUGGACCUGCGGUGCAUUAGCUAGUUGGUAGGGUAACGGCCUACCAAGGCGAUGAUGCAUAGCCGAGUUGAGAGACUGAUCGGCCACAUUGGGACUGAGACACGGCCCAAACUCCUACGGGAGGCAGCAGUAGGGAAUCUUCCACAAUGGACGCAAGUCUGAUGGAGCAACGCCGCGUGAGUGAAGAAGGGUUUCGGCUCGUAAAGCUCUGUUGUUGGUGAAGAAGGACAGGGGUAGUAACUGACCUUUGUUUGACGGUAAUCAAUUAGAAAGUCACGGCUAACUACGUG
This 519-nucleotide ribosomal RNA is filed under the name uncultured bacterium. RNAcentral's name for it is "partial 16S ribosomal RNA". It matches the Rfam family "Bacterial small subunit ribosomal RNA", at positions 28 to 507 of the family's 1533-position model. The record is from RNAcentral.